RNAcentral lists this ribosomal RNA (253 nucleotides) under uncultured bacterium. Its description in RNAcentral is "partial 16S ribosomal RNA". It matches the Rfam family "Bacterial small subunit ribosomal RNA", at positions 524 to 776 of the family's 1533-position model. The record is from RNAcentral.
UACGGAGGGUGCGAGCGUUAAUCGGAAUAACUGGGCGUAAAGGGCACGCAGGCGGGUUGUUAAGUGAGAUGUGAAAUCCCCGGGCUUAACCUGGGAAUAGCAUUUGAGACUGGGAGGCUAGAGUACCUUAGAGAGGGGUAGAAUUCCACGUGUAGCGGUGAAAUGCGUAGAGAUGUGGAGGAAUACCGAAGGCGAAGGCAGCCCCUUGGACAUGUACUGACGCUCAUGUGCGAAAGCGUGGGGAGCAAACAGG